GUGUGGAGACAGACCCGGCCUGAUGAGAAGUGGAGAAGUUGAAAUUACGGAGCGAUAUUACUGCUACUGGUAAUCGAUAUAAUACUGAACAAAGAGAAGUUAGAGUAUGUUUGAGCCCAUAAGAAGUUUAUCAACUACUGAGAAGACCUGGAGAGCAGCUUAGAGCACCGGUUAUUCUUUUCUUUUCCCGGCUGGGUUUUCUGGAUACCCUUGAACUUUGAGUUGGAUUGGAAUCUCUUCCUGACGAGGAAGAUGGCGAGCCACCCGUGUUGAGCACCUGGAUUGAGGAGCGCUUCCAGCAUUCAUCUACCUUGCUGUCAGUGUGGUAGGACUGUGGGGAAGGACCUCAAAGGACAGUUGAAUCUAGCAGAACAUCCUAUUUUUUGAGGAUCACUUUUAUUUUCUGGGUGCACCCAUUACAAAAGACAUUUCUAAUUUUUAUAAACUGAAUGCCGGCAAUGUUGUAAUUAUUUUGUGUGUAAAUACAAUUGUUUUCAUUUAAACUUAACUCUGUGUUCUGGUUUCUCAUUGUGGUGUCUGAUUCCUGUUAAUUACUCCUCCCUACGAAUCUGGGUUAUACUGGUCCAGUGUGCACCUACCCUCCAUGUGGGUUACAUCAGCAAUAUCAGUCUUUGCUUUAUUAAGCAAUUACUACCUCCUCUGAUACAUGUAUGAACACAUGUAAAAGCUCUAUUACAAUCUGAAAGCUAAGACAUCUGGAUCCUGACACCAAGGCAAACCGUGGUUUGUCACAUAAAAAAAGCAAGGCAGUGUUGAUUUGUCCCCACAACACAGUUCUGACAUGGUGGUUUAAUAAAGGGACAAAACAAACCACAGAACAAACAACUUCAUUGUUGCACUAAUAUUUAUUCUUGUCAUUUUCUCAGUUUCAAUAAAACAUCUUGUACAACCAUAA
Limanda limanda (common dab) is the source of this 916-nucleotide long non-coding RNA. RefSeq lists it as uncharacterized. The transcript has 2 exons. The record is from RefSeq and is a predicted model, not a curated record. NCBI's taxonomy places the organism in Eukaryota, Metazoa, Chordata, Actinopteri, Pleuronectiformes, Pleuronectidae.